RNAcentral lists this ribosomal RNA (440 nucleotides) under uncultured bacterium. Its description in RNAcentral is "partial 16S ribosomal RNA". It matches the Rfam family "Bacterial small subunit ribosomal RNA", at positions 338 to 795 of the family's 1533-position model. The record is from RNAcentral.
CCUACGGGCGGCAGCAGUGGGGAAUAUUGCACAAUGGGGGAAACCCUGAUGCAGCAACGCCGCGUGAGUGAAGAAGUCAUUCGUGAUGUAAAGCUCUAUCAGCAGGGAAGAAAAUGACGGUACCUGACUAAGAAGCCCCGGCUAACUACGUGCCAGCAGCCGCGGUAAUACGUAGGGGGCAAGCGUUAUCCGGAUUUACUGGGUGUAAAGGGAGCGUAGACGGCGACGAAAGUCUGAAGUGAAAUGCCAGUGCUCAACACUGGAACUGCUUUGGAAACUGUGUAGCUAGAGUGCAGGAGAGGUAAGUGGAAUGCCUAGUGUAGCGGUGAAAUGCGUAAAUAUAUGUAAGAACACCAGUGGCGAAGGCGGCUUGCUGGGUCGAUACUGACAUUGAGGCACGAAAGCGUGGGGAGCAAACAGGAUUAGAUACCCCAGUAGUC